CCUACGGGUGGCAGCAGUGAGGAAUAUUGGUCACUGGGCGCGAGCCUGACCCAGCCAAGUAGCGUGAAGGAUGACUGCCCUACGGUUUGUAAACUUCUUUUAUAAAGGAAUAAAGUGAGGCACGUAUCCCUUUUUGUAUGUAUUUUAUAAAUAAGGAUCGGCUAACUCCGUUCCAGCCGCCGCGGUACGACGGCGGAUCCGUGCGUUAUCCGGAUUUAUUGGGUUUAAAGGGAGCGUAGAUGGGUUGUUAAGUCAGUUGUGAAAGUUUGCGGCUCAACCGGAAAAGUGCAAUUGAUACUGGCAGCCUUGAGUACAGUUGAGGUAGGAGGAAUUCGUGGUGUAGCGGUGAAAUGCUUAGAUAUCACGAAGAACUCCGAUGGCGAAGGCAGCCUACUAAUCUGCCACUGACAUUGAUGCUCGAAAGUGUGGGUAUCAAACAGGAUUAGAUACCCCUGUAGUC
Molecule: ribosomal RNA, 460 nt
Filed under: uncultured bacterium
Lineage: Bacteria
Description: partial 16S ribosomal RNA
Rfam family: Bacterial small subunit ribosomal RNA
Source: RNAcentral